Molecule: ribosomal RNA, 161 nt
Filed under: Uncultured bacterium OL3_22C
Lineage: Bacteria
Description: partial 16S ribosomal RNA
Rfam family: Bacterial small subunit ribosomal RNA
Source: RNAcentral
UAGGGAAUCUUCCACAAUGGGCGCAAGCCUGAUGGAGCAACACCGCGUGAGUGAAGAAGGGUUUCGGCUCGUAAAGCUCUGUUGUUGGAGAAGAACGUGCGUGAGAGUAACUGUUCACGCAGUGACGGUGGUCCAACCAGAAAGUCACGGCUAACUACGUG